Molecule: ribosomal RNA, 200 nt
Filed under: uncultured bacterium
Lineage: Bacteria
Description: partial 16S ribosomal RNA
Rfam family: Bacterial small subunit ribosomal RNA
Source: RNAcentral
AGAGUUUGAUCAUGGCUCAGAAUCAACGCUGGCGGCGUGCCUAACACAUGCAAGUCGAACGAGAAAGCCCGCAAGGGUGAGUAAAGUGGCGACCGGGUGAGUAACACGUAGCUAACCUACCCUCGAGUGGGGGAUAACCUGGGGAAACCUGGGCUAAUACCGCAUUACAUCCCGAUGGCGCAAGCGGUUGGGAGCAAAGG